GCAGCAGGCGCGUAAAUUAGCCAAUCCUGACACAGGGAGGUAGUGACAAUAAAUAACAAUACGGGGCGCUUUCGCGUCUUGUAAUUGGAAUGAGUACAAUUUAUAUCCCUUAACGAGGAUCAAUUGGAGGGCAAGUCUGGUGCCAGCAGCCGCGGUAAUUCCAGCUCCAAUAGCGUAUAUUAAAGUUGUUGCAGUUAAAAAGCUCGUAGUUGGAUUUCUGGUCGGAGCGACCGGUCGGCGUCCUUUGUGGCGUGUGCACUGUUGUCGGCUCCGUCCAUCCUAGUGGGAAGGCGCGUGGGCAUUCAUUUGUUCGCGCGUGGCCCCGCUACGUUUAACGUGGAAAAAAUAGAGUGUUUAAAGCAGGCUUCCGCC
RNAcentral lists this ribosomal RNA (372 nucleotides) under eukaryote marine clone ANT37-22. Its description in RNAcentral is "SSU rRNA". It matches the Rfam family "Eukaryotic small subunit ribosomal RNA", at positions 425 to 795 of the family's 1831-position model. The record is from RNAcentral.